GCGGUCGUGGCCCAACGGAUGGGCGCCACGUUGCCAGCGUGGAUCACGCGGGUUCGAUUCCCGCCGACCGCU
RNAcentral lists this transfer RNA (72 nucleotides) under Candidatus Brocadiia bacterium. RNAcentral describes it as "tRNA-Gly". It matches the Rfam family "tRNA". From Rfam's summary of the family: Transfer RNA (tRNA) molecules are approximately 80 nucleotides in length. Their secondary structure includes four short double-helical elements and three loops (D, anti-codon, and T loops). Lineage: Bacteria; Pseudomonadati; Planctomycetota; Candidatus Brocadiia. The record is from RNAcentral.